UGUGAUGUAGGAUGUGGUCAAUGGCUGACUC
This 31-nucleotide non-coding RNA is filed under the name Homo sapiens (human). The record is from RNAcentral. Lineage: Eukaryota; Metazoa; Chordata; Mammalia; Primates; Hominidae.